Molecule: long non-coding RNA, 789 nt
Organism: Phragmites australis (common reed)
Lineage: Eukaryota; Viridiplantae; Streptophyta; Magnoliopsida; Poales; Poaceae
Exons: 3
Source: RefSeq, a predicted model, not a curated record
UUUGAGCACAAAAUCAAACCAGCCCGCGAGCCCCAGAUUUCCAAACGAGGCAGUCAAACGAAACGGCCAAGCCCCACCCCCACGAGCCGACAGCAACGCGCCGAAGCAUCCGCCGGCCUCCGCGUUCGCUUUCCUUCCCCGCGAUCAUGGCCAGACGGCGGGAGGCCUGCGGCUCCGGCGCCCCCCUUCGAAAGGAGCCCAGGUACCCAAGCAGCCUGCGUAGCCGUGCUUCUCAUCGCCGGCUUACCCGUCCCCGACAGUGACGUCUGACAUUGCCCACCUCAAGAUAUUCAGGUUCACUUGUGAACAGUUGGUCCCAUAAGCCUGCUGGCUACUGCCUUCAGUGAGAAUUGUCACGGAGUGCAGAAUUAUUGGCAGUGCUCAUGUUUGAUGGACCGUUUCAACCUCUAGUUGUCCUCAAUGGUGUUAGUUUUUGUAUGGAAGAUGGGACCAUUCCAUCACAAAAAGGCUUGGCUCACAAUGGCCAUCAUUAUCUGAAACUUGUGGCCAUGGGGUUACUGUCUGUUUCAUCAGCUGUUGAUACUUGGUAUGGCAUCGUAUUAUGUUUUGUUCUUGUGCAUGCAAAAUGAAGAGAUCGCAAUAUAUUCAACACAGUUCAACGCAAUUCAUACAUGAAAUUUAAUUUAGACUGCGCAGGCAGUGUCAGGAUAAUCUGUGCAAUAAAGUCAUACGUGACUUGCACAAAUUUUACAACGAUUUUGUGGUUUCUUUUUGGCCUGAUCUGAAUGAUUUAACAAGGAAGCUGUAUUAAAACAAUUUUUACAACAA